Long non-coding RNA from Capsicum annuum, 904 nucleotides. RefSeq lists it as uncharacterized. The record is from RefSeq and is a predicted model, not a curated record. NCBI's taxonomy places the organism in Eukaryota, Viridiplantae, Streptophyta, Magnoliopsida, Solanales, Solanaceae. The transcript is spliced from 3 exons.
AUUUAUUAUUAUAAUUAAGAGAAAACAAAAUCCAAAAGUACAGGGCAACUCUCUCAUUCGCCACUCUCUCAGAAUUCUCUCCGCACUCUUGAUAUCGCCCUAAAAGACAGUUAUAAUUGGGGGAGCAACGGCCAGAGGCAGAUAGAGUGUAUUUGCUACAAAUUCAACUGACGCAGAAUGUAGAUCCUGAUGUUUGGAUUGAGUCACGAGCUCAAAUCGAUUUUGCAAUCCAUAGAGGAUUUCCGCCGGACUCUGUCAAAUGAUAGUCAAGACCUUCCACUUAGCCAAGAGCAGAAUGAGACAAUAUGGUUAGAUGCGGUUGGUGGUCCGAGUAGGUAUAGGUAUGCUUAUGGCUUGCCACAAUGAACCUUUUGUGAAUUUCAUUCGAAACUAGAAGGCCUCAGUAGCUUCCAGGAUAAUGAGUCAAGGGAAAUGAUUUUGGCUUUGAAGCAGCAGAUAGCCAAGUUAUCUAAUAAAACUAAGGCCGCAUUGGCAAGGGAAAGGCAAAGGGAUAUACAGUAUGCGGGAAUGAAGGCCCAAUUCGAUGUAUUACUUUCUUUGGGGGGAUUCCCCCUUGUCCUGUUGAUGCAAUUCUCCCUCCUCCUCCAUCUCAGUCUCUACUUAUUUUACAUGGAGUACAUGGUCAAUACAGAGAUGUUACUGAAGAGCCCAGCAGUGAUAAAGAUGAUGAGGAUUAUUAUGUGGAGAAUACACCGCCACGUUGUUAAAGUUGAGUGUUGUAUUAGAUAAUUUAAACUAUAUAACAUAUGAUGGUUGAUUUAAAUUAUUAAGUUUUUUUAAUGCAUGAGAGCUUUGAAUUAGUCUAAACAAUAGUACUAUUGUAUGAAUAACUUGACUACUAUGUUUUUCGGUUCAAUUUCAAGGUACUCUACGUUGAUUUUCA